This 468-nucleotide ribosomal RNA is filed under the name uncultured bacterium. RNAcentral describes it as "partial 16S ribosomal RNA". It matches the Rfam family "Bacterial small subunit ribosomal RNA", at positions 28 to 507 of the family's 1533-position model. The record is from RNAcentral.
GACGAACGCUGGCGGCGUGCUUAACACAUGCAAGUCGAACGGAAAGGCCCUGCUUUUGUGGGGUGCUCGAGUGGCGAACGGGUGAGUAGCACGUGAGUAACCUGCCCUUGACUUUGGGAUAACUUCAGGAAACUGGGGCUAAUACCGGAUAGGAGCUCCUGCUGCAUGGUGGGGGUUGGAAAGUUUCGGCGGUUGGGGAUGGACUCGCGGCUUAUCAGCUUGUUGGUGGGGUAGUGGCUUACCAAGGCUUUGACGGGUAGCCGGCCUGAGAGGGUGACCGGCCACAUUGGGACUGAGAUACGGCCCAGACUCCUACGGGAGGCAGCAGUGGGGAAUAUUGCACAAUGGGCGGAAGCCUGAUGCAGCGACGCCGCGUGCGGGAUGACGGCCUUCGGGUUGUAAACCGCUUUCGCCUGUGACGAAGCGUGAGUGACGGUAAUGGGUAAAGAAGCACCGGCUAACUACGUG